Molecule: transfer RNA, 99 nt
Filed under: Kitasatospora indigofera
Lineage: Bacteria; Bacillati; Actinomycetota; Actinomycetes; Kitasatosporales; Streptomycetaceae
Description: tRNA-Ala
Source: RNAcentral
CUGCACCUGGUGGACUCCUUCAGCCGCUCCUGGGGCUGGCACCCCCUGGCGGGGGCGGGCAAGGUGGUCUGGGCCCUGUUCGAGGCCGAGGAUCCGGCC